GCUACGGGCGGCUGCAGUGAGGAAUAUUGGUCAAUGGACGGGAGUCUGAACCAGCCAAGUAGCGUGAAGGAUUACUGCCCUAUGGGUUGUACACUUCUUUUGUCAGGGAAUAAAACGAGGCACGUGUGCCUUUUUGCAUGUUCUUUGUGAAUAAGGAUCGGCUUACUCCGUUGCCACCGCCGCGGGAAUACGGGGGCUCCGAGCGGUAUUCGGAUUUAUUGGGUUUAAAGGGAGCGUAGAUGGGUGGUUAAGUCAGUUGUGAAAGUUUGCGGCGCAACCGUAAAAUGGCAAUUGAUACUGGGAGGCUUGAGUACAGGAGAGGUAGGCGGAAUUCGUGGUGUAGCGGUGAAAUGCUUAGAUAUCACGAAGAACCCCGAUUGCGAAGGCAGCUUACUAAACUGUGACUGACACUGAGGCACGAAAGUGUGGGGAUCAAACAGGAUUAGAUACCCUAGUAGUC
Molecule: ribosomal RNA, 460 nt
Filed under: uncultured bacterium
Lineage: Bacteria
Description: partial 16S ribosomal RNA
Rfam family: Bacterial small subunit ribosomal RNA
Source: RNAcentral